UGAGGAAUAUUGGUCAAUGGGCGCAAGCCUGAACCAGCCAUCCCGCGUGAAGGAAGAAGGCGCUAUGCGUCGUAAACUUCUUUUACAGGGGGAGAAUUUUCCGGUCGUGACCGGAAUUGAUGGUACUCUGGGAAUAAGCAUCGGCUAACUCCGUGCCAGCAGCCGCGGUAAUACGGAGGAUGCGCGCGUUAUCCGGAUUUAUUGGGUUUAAAGGGUGCGUAGGCGGAGCAAUAAGUCAGUGGUGAAAUUCUGCAGCUUAACUGUAGACUUGCCAUUGAUACUGUUGGUCGUGAGUAUGGUCAAGGUAGGCGGAAUGUGUAAUGUAGCGGUGAAAUGCUUAGAUAUUACACAGAACACCGAUUGCGAAGGCAGCUUGCUGGGCCAAUACUGACGCUGAUGCACGAAAGCGUGGGGAUCGAACA
RNAcentral lists this ribosomal RNA (422 nucleotides) under uncultured prokaryote. Its description in RNAcentral is "bacterial SSU rRNA". It matches the Rfam family "Bacterial small subunit ribosomal RNA", at positions 355 to 774 of the family's 1533-position model. The record is from RNAcentral.